UUAGAAGGGAAAGUAAAGUGGUCUUUCGGAGACACUUGAAUACCGGAUAGCCACGUGAGAAUUGGAGCUUGAGGAUAAUGCUCUUUUAUGGAUUGAGAUUGGAGAUGUGCCGGAGUGUGCCAUCCCGUGAUAGAGCAAGGAUCAGGUUGAGGAUAGUAGCACUCGCAAUUGGUCGAUGCACCUAUGAAUUGCUUCUAAGCAAUGCGGUGAUCGAAUCAGAGUGAAUUUCCCGAUUGGGUGUGUAAUGCAAAGAGUGGUUCUUUGCAUGGUGGUAAUGCACUUUCGGAGUUACACUUAGCAAAUGUGAGUGAAUUUGGUCUCACAUCCUCCGUAGUGGGCUUUUGGAUAGUUCCAAUGAGAGAAAUGCCACCCCGGAGUGCAAAAGUGCAUUGUUACCCUCAGAUGCUCGAUAACUCAAAUUGAGAUGAGAUUUGAGUUUCGAGGACGAAGCUCUUAUUAAGGAGGGGAGGAUGUAAGGUACCGGACUUCUAAAAUUAUAAAGUUACGGUGUGCAUUUGGUUUGGAAAGCCAUUAAAAUGAUUCCGGUGAAGUUCGGAAGCAUUUGGGCAUUUUCGGAGCGCGUAGGCGCAAAAACGGGACCCGAAAGGCUAUGUUGGACCAUGGACUAAAUCCAGCAUUAGCGCGGAUGAAAAGAUGAUGAAAAUACGCUCAAAAACAUGUUUAGAGAGUCUCGGUUCGAUUUGAAAAGAAUCGGAGGUUAAACGAGCGAAAACGGAGAAGAAACGGUGAAAAAGCUGAAAAUUUGGCUAUGUCCU
Molecule: long non-coding RNA, 776 nt
Filed under: Ananas comosus (pineapple)
Lineage: Eukaryota; Viridiplantae; Streptophyta; Magnoliopsida; Poales; Bromeliaceae
Description: long non-coding RNA (ACOM_LNC035754)
Source: RNAcentral